GCCCGACUAGCUCACCGGUAGAGCGCCUCACUAGUAUAUCGUCUUUGUAGCAAGAAGAAUCCCUCUUUAGUAGUGGGGAAAUGAUUGCAAUGAGGAGGCAACAGGUUCGACUCCUGUGUUGGGCA
This is a non-coding RNA of Jackrogersella minutella, 125 nucleotides long. The record is from the annotation of a GenBank genome assembly. Lineage: Eukaryota; Fungi; Ascomycota; Sordariomycetes; Xylariales; Hypoxylaceae.